ACUCCUGCGGGAGGCAGCAGUGGGGAAUUUUGGACAAUGGGCGAAAGCCUGAUCCAGUAAUGCCGCGUGAGUGAAGAAGGCCUUCGGGUUGUAAAGCUCUUUUGUCAGGGAAGAAACGGUGAGAGCUAAUAUCUCUUGCUAAUGACGGUACCUGAAGAAUAAGCACCGGCUAACUACGUGCCAGCAGCCGCGGUAAUACGUAGGGUGCAAGCGUUAAUCGGAAUUACUGGGCGUAAAGCGUGCGCAGGCGGUUUUGUAAGUCUGAUGUGAAAUCCCCGGGCUCAACCUGGGAAUUGCAUUGGAGACUGCAAGGCUAGAAUCUGGCAGAGGGGGGUGGAAUUCCACGUGUAGCAGUGAAAUGCGUAGAUAUGUGGAGGAACACCGAUGGCGAAGGCAGCCCCCUGGGUCAAGAUUGACGCUCAUGCACGAAAGCGUGGGGAGCAAACAGGAUUAGAAACCCGGGUAGUCCC
RNAcentral lists this ribosomal RNA (470 nucleotides) under uncultured organism. Its description in RNAcentral is "partial 16S ribosomal RNA". It matches the Rfam family "Bacterial small subunit ribosomal RNA", at positions 335 to 797 of the family's 1533-position model. The record is from RNAcentral.